CAUUGUCUUCAGAGGGUAUAGAAGAUAAGACCUGCCCCAUGAAAAUUUUAAUGGCCGCAGUAAUUUGACUGUGCAAAGGUAGCAUAAUCAUUAGUUUUUUAAUUGAGGACUGGUAUGAAAGGUAUAACGAGGUAUUUGUUUUCUUAAAUAAAAUAUAAAAUUUUACUUUUUAGUUAAAAGGCUAAAAUAUAAAUAAGGGACGAGAAGACCCUAUAGAGUUUUAUAAAUUAUGUUAUUUUAUUUUAGUAAAAGUAAAGAAUUAAUUAAUUUUAUUUAAUUGGGGAGAUUUUGUAAUAAAACUUAUAAUUAAAUUAACAUUUAUACAUGAAUAAAGGAUCCUAUAGAUGAUUAAAAGACUAAAUUACCUUAGGGAUAACAGCGUUAUUUUCUUGGAGAGUUCUUAUCAAUAAGAAAGUUUGCGACCUCGAUGUUGGAUUAAGAAAAUAAUUAGAUGUAGGUGUCUAAUUAAUAGGUCUGUUCGACCUUUUAAAUCUUACAUGAUCU
RNAcentral lists this ribosomal RNA (504 nucleotides) under Madecassorythus sp. BMNH 704102. Its description in RNAcentral is "partial 16S ribosomal RNA". It matches the Rfam family "Bacterial large subunit ribosomal RNA", at positions 1826 to 2606 of the family's 2925-position model. The record is from RNAcentral. Lineage: Eukaryota; Metazoa; Arthropoda; Insecta; Ephemeroptera; Tricorythidae.